Molecule: ribosomal RNA, 505 nt
Filed under: uncultured bacterium
Lineage: Bacteria
Description: partial 16S ribosomal RNA
Rfam family: Bacterial small subunit ribosomal RNA
Source: RNAcentral
GACGAACGCUGGCGGCGUGCCUAAUACAUGCCAGUCGAACGCACAGUUUAUACCGUAGCUUGCUACACCAUAAACUGUGAGUUGCGAACGGGUGAGUAACGCGUAGGUAACCUGCCUGGUAGCGGGGGAUAACUAUUGGAAACGAUAGCUAAUACCGCAUAAUAUUAAUUAUUGCAUGAUAAUUGAUUGAAAGAUGCAAUUGCAUCACUACCAGAUGGACCUGCGUUGUAUUAGCUAGUAGGUGAGGUAACGGCUCACCUAGGCGACGAUACAUAGCCGACCUGAGAGGGUGAUCGGCCACACUGGGACUGAGACACGGCCCAGACUCCUACGGGAGGCAGCAGUAGGGAAUCUUCGGCAAUGGACGAAAGUCUGACCGAGCAACGCCGCGUGAGUGAAGAAGGUUUUCGGAUCGUAAAGCUCUGUUGUAAGAGAAGAACGGGUGUGAGAGUGGAAAGUUCACACUGUGACGGUAUCUUACCAGAAAGGGACGGCUAACUACGUG